AACGAACGCUGGCGGCAUGCCUAACACAUGCAAGUCGAACGUGAUCCGUGCCUUCGGGUGCGGUGAAAGUGGCGCACGGGUGAGUAACGCGUGGGAACCUGCCCAAUGGUAGGGAAUAACCGCGGGAAACUGCGGCUAAUACCCUAUGAGCCCUACGGGGGAAAGAUUUAUCGCCGUUGGAGGGGCCCGCGUCGGAUUAGGUAGUUGGUGGGGUAAUGGCUCACCAAGCCUUCGAUCCGUAGCUGGUCUGAGAGGAUGAUCAGCCACACUGGGACUGAGACACGGCCCAGACUCCUACGGGUGGCAUCAGUGGGGAAUAUUGGACAAUGGGGGCAACCCUGAUCCAGCAAGGCCGCGUGAGUGAAGAAGGCCUUAGGGUUGUAAAGCUCUUUCGGCGGGGACGAUGAUGACGGUACCCGCAGAAGAAGCCCCGGCUAACUCCGUGCCAGCCGCCGCCGUAA
Molecule: ribosomal RNA, 461 nt
Filed under: uncultured bacterium
Lineage: Bacteria
Description: partial 16S ribosomal RNA
Rfam family: Bacterial small subunit ribosomal RNA
Source: RNAcentral